This 294-nucleotide ribosomal RNA is filed under the name uncultured bacterium. Its description in RNAcentral is "partial 16S ribosomal RNA". It matches the Rfam family "Bacterial small subunit ribosomal RNA", at positions 775 to 1067 of the family's 1533-position model. The record is from RNAcentral.
GGAUUAGAUACCCUGGUAGUCCACGCCGUAAACGAUGUCAACUAGCCGUUGGUCCUAUUAAAAGGAUUAGUGGCGCAGCUAACGCGAUAAGUUGACCGCCUGGGGAGUACGGCCGCAAGGCUAAAACUCAAAUGAAUUGACGGGGGCCCGCACAAGCGGUGGAGCAUGUGGUUUAAUUCGAUGCAACGCGAAGAACCUUACCAUCCCUUGACAUCCUCAGAACUUGUAAGAGAUUACUUGGUGCCUUCGGGAACUGAGUGACAGGUGCUGCAUGGCUGUCGUCAGCUCGUGCCG